RNAcentral lists this small nuclear RNA (322 nucleotides) under Chinchilla lanigera (long-tailed chinchilla). Its description in RNAcentral is "7SK RNA (ENSCLAG00000021472.1)". It matches the Rfam family "7SK RNA". From Rfam's summary of the family: 7SK was discovered as an abundant small nuclear RNA in the mid-70s but a possible function has only recently been suggested. Two independent studies have found that 7SK RNA binds the CDK9/cyclin T complex (known as elongation factor P-TEFb). P-TEFb activates transcription by phosphorylating the C-terminal domain of RNA polymerase II. Lineage: Eukaryota; Metazoa; Chordata; Mammalia; Rodentia; Chinchillidae. The record is from Rfam by way of RNAcentral.
GCAUGUGAAGGCAACCUGACCGCGACAUCUCUCACCCCACUGAACGCCAGGGUUGAUCCAGCUGCUCUGGCUGGCCAGGCAGGUGACCCUUUCCUCGCUCACCACUCCAUGUGCAUCCCUCCUGAAGCUGCAGCUGCACACUUGGUGGAAGAGGACGACCACCCCUGACAGAGGAGGAGCUUUUCCUCAGUCAAGGAUAUAGGAGCAUCUGCACUCUUCUGCUGGAAUCUCCAAACAAGCUCCAAAAAAAAAAAAACAAAACAGUAAGAGCCAGGAGUGGUGGCACACGUCUGUAAUCCCAGCACUCGGAAGGCUGAGGCAG